This 497-nucleotide ribosomal RNA is filed under the name uncultured bacterium. RNAcentral's name for it is "partial 16S ribosomal RNA". It matches the Rfam family "Bacterial small subunit ribosomal RNA", at positions 28 to 507 of the family's 1533-position model. The record is from RNAcentral.
GAUGAACGCUGGCGGCGUGCCUAAUACAUGCAAGUCGAGCGAACAGACGAGGAGCUUGCUCCUCUGACGUUAGCGGCGGACGGGUGAGUAACACGUGGAUAACCUACCUAUAAGACUGGGAUAACUUCGGGAAACCGGAGCUAAUACCGGAUAAUAUAUUGAACCGCAUGGUUCAAUAGUGAAAGACGGUUUUGCUGUCACUUAUAGAUGGAUCCGCGCCGCAUUAGCUAGUUGGUAAGGUAACGGCUUACCAAGGCAACGAUGCGUACCCGACCUGAGAGGGUGAUCGGCCACACUGGAACUGGGACACGGUCCAGACUCCUACGGGAGGCAGCAGUAGGGAAUCUUCCGCAAUGGGCGAAAGCCUGACGGAGCAACGCCGCGUGAGUGAUGAAGGUCUUCGGAUCGUAAAACUCUGUUAUUAGGGAAGAACAAAUGUGUAAGUAACUAUGCACGUCUUGACGGUACCUAAUCAGAAAGCCACGGCUAACUACGUG